GGUGAGUAAUGUGCUGGGAAACUGCCCGAUGGAGGGGGAUAACUACUGGAAACGGUAGCUAAUACCGCAUAACGUCGCAAGACCAAAGUGGGGGACCUUCGGGCCUCACACCAUCGGAUGUGCCCAGAUGGGAUUAGCUAGUAGGUGGGGUAACGGCUCACCUAGGCGACGAUCCCUAGCUGGUCUGAGAGGAUGACCAGCCACACUGGAACUGAGACACGGUCCAGACUCCUACGGGAGGCAGCAGUGGGGAAUAUUGCACAAUGGGCAGCAAGCCUGAUGCAGCCAUGCCGCGUGUAUGAAGAAGGCCUUCGGGUUGUAAAGUACUUUCAGCGGGGAGGAAGGCGAUGCGGUUAAUAACCGCGUCGAUUGACGUUACCCGCAGAAGAAGCACCGGCUAACUCCGUGCCAGCAGCCGCGGUAAUACGGAGGGUGCAAGCGUUAAUCGGAAUUACUGGGCGUAAAGCGCACGCAGGCGGUCUGUCAAGUCGGAUGUGAAAUCCCCGGGCUUAACCUGGGAACUGCAUUCGAAACUGGCAGGCUAGAGUCUUGUAGAGGGGGGUAGAAUUCCAGGUGUAGCGGUGAAAUGCGUAGAGAUCUGGAGGAAUACCGGUGGCGAAGGCGGCCCCCUGGACAAAGACUGACGCUCAGGUGCGAAAGCGUGGGGG
Molecule: ribosomal RNA, 668 nt
Filed under: Pantoea sp.
Lineage: Bacteria; Pseudomonadati; Pseudomonadota; Gammaproteobacteria; Enterobacterales; Erwiniaceae
Description: bacterial SSU rRNA
Rfam family: Bacterial small subunit ribosomal RNA
Source: RNAcentral